GGCCUGCUAGCUCAGUAUUAAAGCAUCGUGCUAACAACGCGAAGGUCGUAGGUUCGAUCCCUGCACAGGUCA
Rhipicephalus microplus (southern cattle tick) is the source of this 72-nucleotide non-coding RNA. The record is from the annotation of a RefSeq genome assembly. NCBI's taxonomy places the organism in Eukaryota, Metazoa, Arthropoda, Arachnida, Ixodida, Ixodidae.